RNAcentral lists this ribosomal RNA (443 nucleotides) under uncultured prokaryote. RNAcentral describes it as "bacterial SSU rRNA". It matches the Rfam family "Bacterial small subunit ribosomal RNA", at positions 355 to 796 of the family's 1533-position model. The record is from RNAcentral.
UAGGGAAUAUUGGUCAAUGGGCGCAAGCCUGAACCAGCCAUGCCGCGUGCAGGAUGAAGGCCCUCAGGGUUGUAAACUGCUUUUGUAUGGGAAUAAAAAGCCCUUGCGAGGGCUAUUGAAGGUACCAUAAGAAUAAGCACCGGCUAACUCCGUGCCAGCAGCCGCGGUAAUACGGAGGGUGCAAGCGUUAUCCGGAUUUACUGGGUUUAAAGGGUGUGUAGGCGGCUCUUUAAGUCAGUGGUGAAAGCCUAGCGCUCAACGCUAGAAAGGCCAUUGAUACUGGAGAGCUUGAGUCAAGAAGAGGUAAGCAGAAUUUAUGGUGUAGCAGUGAAAUGCUUAGAUACCAUAAGGAAUACCAAUAGCGAAGGCAGCUUACUGGUCUUGAACUGACGCUGAGGCACGAAAGCGUGGGGAGCAAACAGGAUUAGAUACCCCCGUAGUCC